RNAcentral lists this ribosomal RNA (497 nucleotides) under uncultured bacterium. RNAcentral's name for it is "partial 16S ribosomal RNA". It matches the Rfam family "Bacterial small subunit ribosomal RNA", at positions 28 to 507 of the family's 1533-position model. The record is from RNAcentral.
GACGAACGCUGGCGGCGUGCCUAAUACAUGCAAGUUGAGCGCUGAAGGUUGGUCCUUGUACCAACUGGAUGAGCAGCGAACGGGUGAGUAACGCGUGGGGAAUCUGCCUUUGAGCGGGGGACAACAUUUGGAAACGAAUGCUAAUACCGCAUAAAAACUUUAAACACAAGUUUUAAGUUUGAAAGAUGCAAUUGCAUCACUCAAAGAUGAUCCCGCGUUGUAUUAGCUAGUUGGUGAGGUAAAGGCUCACCAAGGCGAUGAUACAUAGCCGACCUGAGAGGGUGAUCGGCCACAUUGGGACUGAGACACGGCCCAAACUCCUACGGGAGGCAGCAGUAGGGAAUCUUCGGCAAUGGACGAAAGUCUGACCGAGCAACGCCGCGGGAGUGAAGAAGGUUUUCGGAUCGGAAAACUCUGUUGGUAGAGAAGAACGUUGGUGAGAGUGGAAAGCUCAUCAAGUGACGGUAACUACCCAGAAAGGGACGGCUAACUACGUG